AGUCUGUAUCAGGCAGAAGAAAUAGACUGAGUUUCAGAAUUGAGGACAGUUCAUAAGACACGUAAAUGGAAAAUGACAAGACACUUCCUAUCUGUGUGACCUUGAACAAGUCACUUAACCCAAAUCACCUCGCCUUUAACUGCUCUUCUGCAUUGGAACAGAGAAUUGAUUCUAAAACAGAAAGUAAGGAGUUAAAAAAUGAUGAAGAUGAUGACAAUGAUAACAAAAACAAUGGCUCAUAUGAUCACAAAAGGAAAGUUAUAUAUUUAAAGAAAUGGAAAUCCUAUACCUAAAUAUCAGAUAAGCAUUGAGCUGAAAAGUUUACUGAGGCAUUAAAACUGUUCAGUUCAACUUCAGCAUACAUAAAUCCAAGUUCAACAGUCAUUUGCUGAAAGAUUUUUGUCUGACUUUCAUAUUUCCUCUAGGAAAUCAGGCAGCAGAACAUCGAAUCACCUCUGCCUCCUCCACUGCCUUUUCACAGAUGUUCAGCCACAAGCUAAAUUGGAUUUUUCUUGAAAUGUUUCAAAUCUAUCCAUUCUCCUUUUUCAUGGCCAUCAACCCUAAGUCCAAGACUUUAUUACCACAUACCCUUAACAACUAGAAUAUCUUAUAAUUAAUUGCUCACCUCUGGUUAGUUUCUCUACUACCUUAAUCUAUCUUAGUUGGAUAAACCUAAAUUAAUUCAUUCUUUUAAUAUAGAUUUUACUCAUGUCAUUUGCCUUUUCAUCAUAAUCAUUUCUGGAAAUUUGUCCCUCACACCACAGACUAAGUUUUCCCUAAUGAAAAAAGAAAAUUAAAUAAAAACACCAGGUCCUGAAUCUCUGGCAUGAAAAGAGAUCUGUAACAUGUAUCUUUACCUAGGACCAAGCACUUCAUCCACUUCACUGGGGCUGAGUGAGCCUUCGAUAUUUUAGCUGAACACACACUCCUAAAAUCCCCUUCUCUCACUACCUCUGGAAAAAGUAAUCAUGUCAAUACUCCAAUUCCCACUGAGGCUACUAGCAUCUCAGUGACUCCUCUGGCCACUCCCUCAUAUCUUUGGUCUUCUCUUAUUUAAAUGAAAACUUCCUGAGGGCAGGAACUGGCUUGCUCCUUUGUUUUGAUAAGCCCCCAAAUUCAGCAUAGUGCUUGGCAUGUAGUAAAUGCUUAAUAAAUUCUUUUAAAUACACUCAUAUCACCUCCCUGCUCAAAAACCUACAAAGCUUUUCAUUUCAUGCAUAACAACCUUUAACAGGUCCCUGCUUCCCAUAGGAUCAAGUGCAAGGACCUUCUAAAUGGCCUCAAUGUGCUUCUUUCCAUAACUCUGUGAAACUUACAAGUGAACCAUAAUAGUCUACUUUCUCUCAACACAAAAAGUCCAUUACUUUUCUGGCUCUUUACCAUGCCAUUUUACCUCUGGGAUGAAAGAAUAUACUCUCUCCUUAUAUCACAUCCACCUCUUAACACUCAACUCUGAUCUCACCUCUUCUGAGAAGAUAGUAUCCAAUAAGUAAUAGGAUCUUGAAAAAUGUUUGCUGAACUGAAGACACCCCUAAAUAAUCUAAGCUAAAAUGAUCUCUAAGUACUUCUUCUGAAUACUUAUUAUUAUAUGCAAAUAUCAUACUCUGCCUUUAAAUUUUAACCAUUUUUUUGUCCCAGUUAUAAGAUACAAUAGCAGGGAAAGUCAUAAAUGGAUGCAAAAAACAGACAAUUUACCAAUGUAAAUGCCAACAUUCCAUUACUAGCACAUAUGUUCAAAACUAGUGAACAUUAGCAUUCACCUUGGCUAGCAAGUCAACUUAGGUUUUUUUAAGUUUCAUUUGUUUUUAGAAAUUGUGUUUGAACCCAAUAAACCAUGCAUAUUCUUUUUUCCUCCUCUCUAAUCCACCUUAUCAAAUCAACAUGAUCAAAACCAAGCAUUACUUUACCACAACCUAUAGUUGCUGAAUCCCUAUUUCCUCCUUUCCCUCUGCUACAGCAAAUAGCUUCUGGGUCCACAGCGAAAAACACCUCCCAGGUUACAAAGCUGAUUCUGCCCUCUCCAGCCAAGUGAUCUCUCAUGUCUCCUUAUCGAUCCCAUCUCCUAACACAGCAAAACAGUCUCUAAGACACAACGUGAACAAAGUGGAAUGAAACUGAACAAAGGCCUUUCUUCACAAUACUCCUAUGAUGUAAAUGAUGGAACAUCUUUCACAAGUACCAAGUUGAAGAGUUCAACCAAGGGAAUUCCUAGGGACAAGAAGCUUCAACAAAGAAUCUUCUUAAAUCAACAAGAGAACAUAUGCAGGGGUAGCCUUGGCCCUUCCAGCUGCCUUACCUGCAUGCAUACAGCAUAUUGGACAUGAAAGUAACAGGGUUCGUGCUUCUAGAUGUGUCCAUCACAUAAAUGACAAUUGUUGGAAAUGAGGAUGCCUGAAGAAAAAGGGUACAAAUAAGACUUACCAGGGCUUCAGUAAUAAUUGUACCAGAAGCUGACCAAGUGAAGACCUCGAUCUGUCCAGGUGUAUCUAUCAAGACAUACCUGUUUUAUGAAUAAAUAUUACUAUGUAUUAAAUAUUCUGCAUGAAGGAUUUCAUCAACCACUAUACAGAAAACUAAAAAAUACUAAGAUAUUCCAUCACACAAUACUGUCCAUUCCUAAAAUCUGAAAACAUUUAAAUUUAACACGGCACCCAAAUUUUGGGUAUAUUUUUGUCUUCUUAUUGGGUUAUGGAUGAAUAACCCCAAUUAUCUUUCAAUAAGGACACAAAAACACUCUCAAAGUGACCUUUGUAUCUAUAAUUGGACAAAGAUAAUAAUGUGCAAGCAUCUAAAUAUAAUAAUAAAUUAUUUCACAAGCCUAGGGCAAUAAUAUAAAAAACCCAUUGUCUUUGGAAAUGGAUGUUUGAGACAGUAGAUUAACCUGAGGAUCAUUAAAGGAGAUGUUUCAAGAAGAAAAGUUGACUCUUCAAAGAAUAAACAUUGAAAGUUGCCAGGGAUUCUGAAAUGCUCUAUGGCAGAUCUAGCCAGAGUUAACAUCCUAGAACUGGUUAAGCUCCAUAUAGUUAGAAAAGCAGAACUAAUAUUUAGAAAUAUAGUAACUUUAGCCAGGUGAUGACUUUACAGUUCCUGUAGAAGUGUCUUUAAUGUUCUUUAGUAAAUGCCUCUAAAUCUGAAAUCAUGAUAGAAAGAAAAAGCUGACAGCAAAUGUUUCUCUCCACUUUCCUGACUGGAGUUCCAGUAUUCAAAACCAAGAACCACUGCUCAUAGUAAAUUUGAAUAGUCCUACAGAGCAGAACUAUGGGGAACUGAAUAGCCUGCCACAAAACUCCCAGGAGAAAUGUUUAACAAAAUAAAGAGAAAUACAAUAAAACAGACAAUAUUAAUUUGUGGUUUUCCAAGUCAAUACUCUAUUUCUAUUUGAGUUUGAUGUCAGUGGUUCAGACCACUGGUUCCCCUGGGUCAGAUAAGCACUGGAGAUGAGCUACUAUCUGAGGCAAUAGAUAAUUUGUUAUUGAGUCAUUUCAGUUGUGUCCAACUUCGUGACCCCAUUUAGGGUUUUCUUGGCAAAGAUACUGGAAUGGUUUGUCAUUUCAUUCUCCAGUUCAUUUUAUAGAUGAGGAAACUGAGGCAAACAGAGUUAAGUGCCCAGGGUCACAUAGUUAAUAAGCCUCUGAGGCUAGAUUCGAACUCAGGAAGAUGAAGUUUCCUGACUUCAAGUCCAUCACUCUAUCCCCCAUGUCACCUAGCUGCCACAGUAGCUAAUUUUUAGAUAAAAAGAUUGUACAAAACCUUCAUUGUUCCCUUCCUGGGCAAAAUUAUUACCCAAAAAGUACUUAAGAAAAUUAGCAUUCUCUCUUUUUGAAUUAUGUGAGUUUUACUUAUAAAAAUUUAGGAGGAAAGGAUGCCUCCAAAUAGACUGCUGAGAAAAAGGGACAGAAGCAAUGGUACUCCAAAGCAGGGAGGGCAGGUUUCCCAAGAGAGAAGACUAGGAGACAAAUUACUGAAGCCAGGCAAAAUUCCCAGUCUAAGACUUUCUUCCCAUCAGUGACCCAGAGACUCUCUUAAAGAAUUUAGGAGUUAUUUGAGGAUAUCCAGUUUAAUGGUUUUUUGCUUAUUUCAUAUGAAUAUCUAAUCUACUUCAAACUAAAGCCAUAGAUUUCUUGUAUAUGUUCUAUAGCAUUCAGUAUAUUGAGCACCCAUACUAGGCACAUAUAAGUGUUCAAAAAAUACUUGUUAAUUUAGUUACUCACUGUGACAUGUUCUGAGACUUCUCAAUAAACUUCAUGACCUAAAAAGAAAGAGAAUUGGUUCUUAUAGGUCUUUGGGACAUCCACAGGUCAGAAACUCUCCCAAAACAAGCAGCAGCAAACAAAAAAACUUCAAACUGGGAAGUACAUUCAUUAAUUUCAGGGUGCUGAGGCAGCUAGGGUACACACACACA
Monodelphis domestica (gray short-tailed opossum) is the source of this 4402-nucleotide non-coding RNA. NCBI's taxonomy places the organism in Eukaryota, Metazoa, Chordata, Mammalia, Didelphimorphia, Didelphidae. The record is from RefSeq and is a predicted model, not a curated record.